This 407-nucleotide unclassified non-coding RNA is filed under the name soil metagenome. Its description in RNAcentral is "partial contains internal transcribed spacer 2 and large subunit ribosomal RNA". The stretch from base 1 to 120 matches the Rfam family "5.8S ribosomal RNA", at positions 35 to 154 of the family's 154-position model. The record is from RNAcentral.
GAUGAAGAACGCAGCGAAAUGCGAUAAGUAGUGUGAAUUGCAGAAUUCAGUGAAUCAUCGAAUCUUUGAACGCACAUUGCGCUUCCUGGUAUUCCGGGGAGCACCCCCGUUCCAGAAUCAAUAAAAAUCUCACCGAGUUUGGUGCUUUCGGGCAUUAGACCCAGGUGGAGUUGGAUUUUUGCUUCCGGCAAUCAUCUGAAAUACAUUGUGUGUGCACCAAUUGCUCGGUCUCUUGGUUGUCAGAGUGCAACAGAUUUAUCUAUUCGCUUGGACGACUGGCUGACUGCUUUGAUGCGCAUUCAUCCCUCAUUGCACGGAAUUCGAAUCGGAUGGUUCGGAUUCUGAUAACUUGAUCUGGAAUCGGGCGGGAAAACCCGCUGAACUUAAGCAUAUCAAUAAGCGGAGGA